GCCUCAGUAACGGCGAGUGAAGCGGCAAAAGCUCAAAUUUGAAAUCCUUCGGGAGUUGUAAUUUGUAGGUUGGGAGACCCCGCGGCUAGUGGCACCAAGUCCCUUGGAACAGGGCGCCUUAGAGGGUGAGAGCCCCGUAGGUACCACAAUACCGUCUUGUGUCUCCUCUCCAAAGAGUCGAGUUGUUUGGGAAUGCAGCUCAAAGUGGGUGGUAAAUUCCAUCUAAAGCUAAAUACCGGCGAGAGACCGAUAGCGAACAAGUACAGUGAUGGAAAGAUGAAAAGCACUUUGAAAAGAGAGUGAAACAGUACGUGAAAUUGUUGAAAGGGAAGGGCUUGCAAGCAGACACGGCCUUCGUGCCGGGCCAGCAUCGGUUGCUAGGGGUGGAUAAGGAACAAGGAAUGUAGCUCCUCGGAGUAUUAUAGCCUUGCGCGAUACACCCACUGGCGACCGAGGCCUGCGGUAUUCUUUACCUAGGAUGCUGGCGUAAUGGUUGCAAGCCGCCCGUCUUG
RNAcentral lists this ribosomal RNA (512 nucleotides) under Sungouiella intermedia. RNAcentral's name for it is "[Candida] intermedia partial large subunit ribosomal RNA". It matches the Rfam family "Eukaryotic large subunit ribosomal RNA", at positions 77 to 656 of the family's 3401-position model. Lineage: Eukaryota; Fungi; Ascomycota; Pichiomycetes; Serinales; Metschnikowiaceae. The record is from RNAcentral.